RNAcentral lists this ribosomal RNA (912 nucleotides) under human gut metagenome. RNAcentral's name for it is "bacterial SSU rRNA". It matches the Rfam family "Bacterial small subunit ribosomal RNA", at positions 380 to 1299 of the family's 1533-position model. The record is from RNAcentral.
AGCCUGAUGCCAGCGACGCCGCUUGCGGGAUGGAGGCCUUCGGGUUGUAAACCGCUUUUGUUUGGGAGCAAGCCCUUCGGGGUGAGUGUCCCUUUCGAAUAAGCACCGGCUAACUACGUGCCAGCAGCCGCGGUAAUACGUAGGGUGCAAGCGUUAUCCGGAAUUAUUGGGCGUAAAGGGCUCGUAGGCGGUUCGUCGCGUCCGGUGUGAAAGCCCAUCGCUUAACGGUGGGUCUGCGCCGGGUACGGGCGGGCUGGAGUGCGGUAGGGGAGACUGGAAUUCCCGGUGUAACGGUGGAAUGUGUAGAUAUCGGGAAGAACACCAAUGGCGAAGGCAGGUCUCUGGGCCGUCACUGACGCUGAGGAGCGAAAGCGUGGGGAGCGAACAGGAUUAGAUACCCUGGUAGUCCACGCCGUAAACGGUGGAUGCUGGAUGUGGGGCCCGUUCCACGGGUUCCGUGUCGGAGCUAACGCGUUAAGCAUCCCGCCUGGGGAGUACGGCCGCAAGGCUAAAACUCAAAGAAAUUGACGGGGGCCCGCACAAGCGGCGGAGCAUGCGGAUUAAUUCGAUGCAACGCGAAGAACCUUACCUGGGCUUGACAUGUUCCCGACAGCCGUAGAGAUAUGGCCUCCCUUCGGGGCGGGUUCACAGGUGGUGCAUGGUCGUCGUCAGCUCGUGUCGUGAGAUGUUGGGUUAAGUCCCGCAACGAGCGCAACCCUCGCCCUGUGUUGCCAGCACGUCAUGGUGGGAACUCACGGGGGACCGCCGGGGUCAACUCGGAGGAAGGUGGGGAUGACGUCAGAUCAUCAUGCCCCUUACGUCCAGGGCUUCACGCAUGCUACAAUGGCCGGUACAGCGGGAUGCGACAUGGCGACGACGACAUCCACCCAGGGAAAGAUCCUUGCAAUAACC